ACCCGCUGAACUUAAGCAUAUCAAUAAGCGGAGGAAAAGAAACCAACAGGGAUUGCCUCAGUAACGGCGAGUGAAGCGGCAACAGCUCAAAUUUGAAAUCUGGCCUCUUUGGGGUCCGAGUUGUAAUUUGUAGAGGAUGUUUCGGGUACCGCCCCGGUCUAAAUUUCUUGGAACAGAAUGUCAGAGAGGGUGAGAAUCCCGUCUUGGACCGGCGGUAGGGCCCAUGUGAAACUCCUUCGACGAGUCGAGUUGUUUGGGAAUGCAGCUCAAAAUGGGUGGUAUAUUUCAUCUAAAGCUAAAUAUUGGCCAGAGACCGAUAGCGCACAAGUAGAGUGAUCGAAAGAUGAAAAGAACUUUGAAAAGAGAGUUAAACAGUAUGUGAAAUUGUUGAAAGGGAAGCGCUUGCAACCAGACUUGAGCGCGGCGGUUCCCCCUUCCUUUUGGUUGGGUUACUCCGUCGUGUCCAGGCCAACAUCGGUUCUGGGGGUCGGUUAAAGGCUUGGGGAAUGUACCUACGUCUUCGGGCGUAGACUUAUAGCCCCGAGUGUCAUGCGACCUCCCGGGACCGAGGAACGCGCUUCGGCUCGGAUGUUGGCGUAAUGGUUGUAAGCGGCCCGUCUUGAAACACGG
RNAcentral lists this ribosomal RNA (630 nucleotides) under uncultured fungus. RNAcentral describes it as "LSU rRNA". It matches the Rfam family "Eukaryotic large subunit ribosomal RNA", at positions 23 to 664 of the family's 3401-position model. The record is from RNAcentral. Lineage: Eukaryota; Fungi.